RNAcentral lists this long non-coding RNA (546 nucleotides) under Monodelphis domestica (gray short-tailed opossum). Its description in RNAcentral is "lncRNA (ENSMODG00000030314.2)". The record is from RNAcentral. Lineage: Eukaryota; Metazoa; Chordata; Mammalia; Didelphimorphia; Didelphidae.
CUCUUUCUCAGAGUCCUUAAUAUACCUGCUUCCCUUGUCUGCCAUUAUGGAUUUUAUUGGCAUCACUCCUUCAGCUAUCUGAGAAAGAAAAGUCAUUAAUGCUGAGAAAGGUUAUUUCCCACCUAAACAAUUGAUGAGGAUUCAUGGUCAAAAAGAGAGAAAUUGGAUCAAAAGCUCACCCCCUAAAGGUAAAUAUGGCCUGACCUGAGGACAAACAAGCAGCCACCACCCCACCAAAAGAGACCGGCUUAUGCCUAUUCAUGAGACUCUGGGCUCCUGUCUGCUGCUUUUGCUCUGCUCCCAGUAGCUAUCAUCAGAGAACAAUUGAAAAUGGAAAUAAAGGAACCCAGCUACAGAGGAGGAAGAGGAGAGAUGUCCAUCUGAGCACAGGGCCCAGAAUCAGGUGCUGAUUUCAAGAGAUGGAUUACAAACACUUGGAUGAUUGACUGAAUUUUUCAUUGUUUUAAAGACUCAGCCUCAAUCUCCUAAGGAAUGCUACAUGGAAGCUUCAAUAAAAAUUAAAUUCAACAUUUAUUGUAUUUAACU